UCUGGUAGUUAUGGCGAGAAGGUCACACCCGUUCCCAUCCCGAACACGGUAGUUAAGCUUCUCUGCGCCAAUGGUAGUUGGGGGCUUCCCCCU
Molecule: ribosomal RNA, 93 nt
Filed under: Listeria monocytogenes
Lineage: Bacteria; Bacillati; Bacillota; Bacilli; Caryophanales; Listeriaceae
Also listed under: 1 other name
Source: RNAcentral